AUGGAGGCCGUUGCUAAUGCGAUUAUGAGUCUUGUCAUCCCAAUGCUCAGUGAGAUGAUCAAGGAUGAAUACAACCUGGACAAUCAUUUGAAGAGACACGUCAAGUCUCUCCGGCAGGAACUGAUGAUGGUGCAGGCUGCCCUCAGCAAGGUGGCUAAGGUGCCUCGAGACCAGCUCGAUGCGCAGAUCAAGCCCUCGACAGGAGAGGUGAGAAAAUUGUUAUAA
This 225-nucleotide ribosomal RNA is filed under the name Triticum aestivum (bread wheat). RNAcentral's name for it is "partial small subunit ribosomal RNA". Lineage: Eukaryota; Viridiplantae; Streptophyta; Magnoliopsida; Poales; Poaceae. The record is from RNAcentral.